Molecule: ribosomal RNA, 442 nt
Filed under: uncultured bacterium
Lineage: Bacteria
Description: partial 16S ribosomal RNA
Rfam family: Bacterial small subunit ribosomal RNA
Source: RNAcentral
CCUACGGGUGGCAGCAGUAGGGAAUAUUGCACAAUGGACGAAAGCCUGAUGGAGCAACGCCGCGUGAGCGAAGAAGGUCUUCGGAUCGUAAAGCUCUGUCCGUGAUGAAGAAGGAAGUGACGGUACUCAAGGAGGUAGCCGCGGCUAACUACGUGCCAGCAGCCGCGUUAAUACGUGGGGGGAAAGCGUUAUCCGGAUUGAUGGGGCGAAAGGUGUACGUAGGUGGUUAUGUAAGCGCGUGGUGAAGGACAGUGGCUUACCCAUUGUAAGCCUUGCGAACUGCAAGACUUGAGUGCAGGAGAGGAAAGCGGAAUUCCAUGUGUAGCGGUGAAAUGCUUAGAUAUUAGGAGGAACACCAGUGGCGAAGGCGGCUCUCUGGUCUGUAACUGACACUGAGGUUCGAAAGCAUGGGUAGCAAACAGGAUUAGAUACCCUUGUAGUC